GGUCAGGAUGAAGUUCCGGUAAAACGGAAUGGAGGUCCGAACGCAUUUACGUUGAAAAGUGAUGCGAUGAACUGAGGGGAGGAGUAAAAGUCUAAUCAAACUCGGAGAUAGCUGGUUCUCCCCGAAAUAGCUUUAGGGCUAGCCUUAUGCAACCGUGUAGUAGGGGUAGAGAUACUGAUUGAGUAUUGGGGCCCACCAGGCUACCGAGCACAAUCAAACUCCGAAUACUACUGCAUUUGACAUAGGAGUCAGACUAUGGGGGAUAAGCUCCGUAGUCGAGAGGGAAACAGCCCAGACCAUUAGUUAAGGUCCCUAAAAUGAGCUAAGUGAAAAAGGAAGUGAAAGUGCUAAGACAGCUAGGAUGUUGGCUUAGAAGCAGCAAUCAUUUAAAAAGUGCGUAAUAGCUUACUAGCCGAGUACUUUUGUGNNNNNNNNNNAUCCUAAUCUUUUAGGAUGGUAGGGGAGCGUUCUAUGAUAGGUUGAAGCCUUACAAAAAUGAGAGGUGGACGAAAUAGAAGUGAGAAUGCCGGUAUAAGUAGCGAUAAUAUAAGUGAGAAUCUUAUUCGCCGAAAGCCUAAGGUUUCCUGGGGAAGGCAAAUCCGCCCAGGGUUAGCCGGUACCUAAGUCGAGGUCGAAAGGCGUAGACGAUGGACAACAGGUUAAUAUUCCUGUGCUGCUAUUUAACGUUUGAGCUUGGGAGGACGUGGACACAACGAU
This 717-nucleotide ribosomal RNA is filed under the name SAR202 cluster bacterium. Its description in RNAcentral is "partial 23S ribosomal RNA". It matches the Rfam family "Bacterial large subunit ribosomal RNA", at positions 738 to 1487 of the family's 2925-position model. The record is from RNAcentral. Lineage: Bacteria; Bacillati; Chloroflexota; Dehalococcoidia.